UUUGUAAUCAGGAUUUGUGGGCUUGAUUUGUUCAUCUAAUUUAUUCCUAUUCUUUCCUCCUCGUAUCCAUCCAACUCGUUACUUUGCUUUUAUCUCAUUCAGCCACCACUCUUUGUCGUUCUUCUUCGAGAGAUGAAUUCCCCACGCACCAGGCUUAAUGUUCCCACACUCUCCACUUACUACCGCAAGAAUGUGCUAAACAAAUUCUAAAAUUCUCCGUAAAGACGUUCCCAAACGUAAACAUAAACAUUCAUUCCUUCUCCUUCCUCCAUAUAUAUUCUCAGUCGCGGAAUAGUAGAAAUAUGCUAAAGUGGUAGCCUCAGCAUUUCGUGGUAUAAAAAUAAUUGCUACUCUGCCUCCUGCGUUGUUGAGAUAUUUGAGUGAGCCCUUGUUUUCUGUCAGCCAAUUACUCAACCACACUUCAAAUUCAAGGGUUGCAUUCUUGGAAUGGAUGGAUUCUCGUAUGACACUGCUAUGUAAAUUAACCCAAGGAAUGGAGGUGACGGUUCAUCUUGCAAGACCUCCAUCUAAAUAUGAUCUACGCGCAAUUCGAGCAUGGAGCUCAUCCCGACCGAAAGGAAAGGCAAAGCCAGUGAUCAUUUCCGAAAGAAGCAGCAUGUUAACUUAACUAAGAUUUGUUAACUUUCUCACGUUUUUAAUCAGAUCACAUCUCCCAUGACGGAGCAGUCGAGGAGAGAAAACGGAGAAGGAAGGAAGACUAAUAACCAAAUCCAAAUCCUGAUUCCGAAUUCAAGAGAUGCAAAAACAAGGAACUUGCUCUCUAGUCUCCAUUCAACCUGGUAGACGACUUCGAGAGAGGUCCACUCUUCUUCUCUAUAAUUUACCUCAAAGACCAACCAACCCCAGUCCAAUGGGUACAAAUUGCUCUGGUUGUUGGUCGGGUGAGUCAGGACAAGUUCUCGUAAUGUUAAUGUCCCCUAAUGAGAUGGACUGUGCAGCAGCCAGGCAAAUAAACCGGUGCGAGAUGAGAACGACGGGUGAGACGAGUCGCAGGAAUGAAUGGAUGGUUAUGAUCGAAUCUUUAUUCUGAUGUGGCUCGCUCGAGGACUGGAGCCGUUCUGAGAGUGCCGACGAGAUUUUGGAGGACUUGUACUACUCGGAUCUCUGCUGAAGAAAAGUGAGAUUCAGGAGAGA
Molecule: long non-coding RNA, 1155 nt
Organism: Folsomia candida
Lineage: Eukaryota; Metazoa; Arthropoda; Collembola; Entomobryomorpha; Isotomidae
Exons: 7
Source: RefSeq, a predicted model, not a curated record